This is a long non-coding RNA of Puntigrus tetrazona (Sumatra barb), 711 nucleotides long. RefSeq lists it as uncharacterized. NCBI's taxonomy places the organism in Eukaryota, Metazoa, Chordata, Actinopteri, Cypriniformes, Cyprinidae. The transcript is spliced from 3 exons. The record is from RefSeq and is a predicted model, not a curated record.
AUCACGCAAGAGUUGCGUCAUUGCUCGUGAGAGCUCGACAGGUGUGGGAGGGGAAAUUCAGACCACGUUAAUGGAGGUCGAGCGUGAGUUACCCUAAAACGUCACAAGAGUUAAAGUGCUAAAUAAUGUCUCUGUCAAAUGUGAGCAGAUUAUUACAGAGAGAAUAAAACCGUUUGACAGGAAGAUCAAUGGUUGACUUGAUUGAUUGAGCAUCCACCCAAAUGAAUGACACCCCGGAGACACUCUCCCUGUGUCAGAUGGAUAGAUGUACCAAUACUGAUGAUCUAAAAAUCAAGAUUGCUUGGAAAGCACAUCAAUGCAGUAACAAAUUAUGUGCGUGAGCACAUUCUGCAGUUUAGAAGAGGUCUACAGGAGAACAAAUGUCCAUGUCUUUCUCUCAUUUUUGCUGUUGCUGAAAAUAAAUACAAUUAUCUUAUAAUGGGAUCCAUAGAGAUAAAAGUAGUCUUCUAUCAAACCUCUGACAGAGAAAGGAUGUUGAAUGGAUAGAAACUCCAGUUAAAGUGCUUCUUUUAUCAGCACACCUUUUUAUAUGCAAAUGUGGCAAGUUGCCUAUUUACUGGUACAGGAAUUCAGGUGAGAAUUCAUUGCAUCUCUUCUCCAGCUGUGGCCUAUAAUCAAGUGCUGACAAACUCAAAUGUGGAAAAACAUAUUUGGGUUCAUAUGUGUUGGAAAACCAGCAUUUGCAGUUGU